GUGGCUUACCAAGGCUUUGACGGGUAGCCGGCCUGAGAGGGUGACCGGCCACAUUGGGACUGAGAUACGGCCCAGACUCCUACGGGAGGCAGCAGUGGGGAAUAUUGCACAAUGGGCGGAAGCCUGAUGCAGCAACGCCGCGUGCGGGAUGACGGCCUUCGGGUUGUAAACCGCUUUCGCCUGUGACGAAGCGUGAGUGACGGUAAUGGGUAAAGAAGCACCGGCUAACUACGUGCCAGCAGCCGCGGUGAUACGUAGGGUGCGAGCGUUGUCCGGAUUUAUUGGGCGUAAAGGGCUCGUAGGUGGUUGAUCGCGUCGGAAGUGUAAUCUUGGGGCUUAACCCUGAGCGUGCUUUCGAUACGGGUUGACUUGAGGAAGGUAGGGGAGAAUGGAAUUCCUGGUGGAGCGGUGGAAUGCGCAGAUAUCAGGAGGAACACCAGUGGCGAAGGCGGUUCUCUGGGCCUUUCCUGACGCUGAGGAGCGAAAGCGUGGGGAGCGAACAGGCUUAGAUACCCUGGUAGUCCACGCUGUAAACGGUGGGUACUAGGUGUGGGGUCCAUUCCACGGGUUCCGUGCCGUAGCUAACGCUUUAAGUACCCCGCCUGGGGAGUACGG
RNAcentral lists this ribosomal RNA (615 nucleotides) under uncultured bacterium. RNAcentral describes it as "bacterial SSU rRNA". It matches the Rfam family "Bacterial small subunit ribosomal RNA", at positions 260 to 885 of the family's 1533-position model. The record is from RNAcentral.